GGAAAGGUGUGGGCUAAACACUACACAGCGACUGCUGGGAGAUGCUUUGGAAAAAAGCCUCUCUUAUGUGAAUACACGAAAAUGCGGCUUUCACAUGGUGAUGAUGUUGUACUUUUGAGACGGUCCCUGGAGAUAUUUUACUUUUGAGACGGUCCCUGGCGAUAUCGUACUGUAGCGCUCAGCGCCGUGGGUUUGGAUGGGGCGAAGAAGGACACAGAGGCAGCGUUCAUUACAAACGAUUUAUCUGAACACCGGUACCAGCGAAAUAAUGCUCUCGGUCCGAGGACCCCCGUUUCCUUCAGGACCUGCACGUAAAUAUGAUACAGCCAGCCGUCCCAGCCUGCUUAGCGCCCCAGGCUCGCUCCUCACACACCAGUCAGUCAGGAGACAGGGUCACCCCAUCAUUUUCCCCCUAAAUGCCCCCAGUUGUUGCAUACCCACAUUUCACAUUAUUCUCCAGAAUGCAACUAUUUACAUUUAGGAGUUUCCCUCCUAAAACAGUAACGCGGGGUCGUUAGAGUACUUUGAGACGGUCCCUGGUAACUUUGUACUUUUGCGACGGUCCCUGGUAACUUUGUACUUUUGAGACGGUCCCUGGCCAUUGAACCGCGCGCGGGAUCCGGGCCACAAUGGCGGGAACGGACUCCGGCAGUUUCCACCACAUGAGGAUCUAUUACCUGGACAACAUAGCGGAGAGUCUGGCCGAGGCCCGAGAGCUGAUGAUGGAGCUGAACAGUAACCUGCAGGUUUGGGCUGAGAGGACAACUCAGCUGGAGCACCUCGCUCAGGUAGGUGUCUGGACUCUUGGACAGCAGUGUUCUUCGGAGGACAUCGUGGCAAUUGAAUGUGUUACCAAGGGGAUGUUGGUUGCUGUACGUUGUAUAUUGUCUCACAGUCUCCGGCUUAUGUUCUGCUGCUGUCCCGAGCCUGUCGCUGAACGAAGGAACGAACGAACGAACGAACGAAUGAGGUGAACAUCCUCUCCUUUUGAACGCUCUCAGGUGUGGACGGCCUUCCAGAACAGACUGGCCUCCCUCUCGCUGGCCUUUGGACACGUACUGGAGGAGAAGCCUCAGGCGGGAAAAAGUUCCAGCUCUUUGGAGUGAAGUGGAAGAGAGCUGAUGAUCCACCCGCUCAGUUUUCCAUCCUCCAUCACCUGGUCGUCUUGCUCCACAGACCAUCUACAGCAUCUUCACAGCUCCUGUGGUCCACAGGCCUUCUCAGCUGCACACCUCGUUGGCACUUGUUGACCUGUGAUCGCUCACCGGCACUGUGGCCACUUACUCAGUUUCUCCAACAUUCCUCAUUCGAAUCUUCAAUAAAAACAUUAGGAAACUGAAUGGCA
Molecule: long non-coding RNA, 1345 nt
Filed under: Scleropages formosus (Asian bonytongue)
Lineage: Eukaryota; Metazoa; Chordata; Actinopteri; Osteoglossiformes; Osteoglossidae
Description: lncRNA (ENSSFOG00015032791.1)
Source: RNAcentral